AGCAGCAAAUGUUAAGUAAACGAGUCGCCUCAAAAUGAAUGGUUGAAAAUAAAAAUUUCAUAAAAAACAGUGGUCAGAGACUCAAAUUUCAAAUCGAAAGUAUUGGUCUUGCUAUUGAUAUUAAGUAGAAUUUUCUGUUAAAUUUUCAUUUAAUUUGGAUACUUCUACACCGUUGAACUUAAAAAUGUGCCACAUCGGCCGUUAAAAUAGUCAUUUUUGAGACCUUUUGAUCGCUUGGUAAAUGAUGUCAAAAAAUUAUAAAAUUUGGUUUCUAAAUAAUUCCAAUAGAGUAGAUUAUAUUUAACGGAGCCGAUCGUCAAAUCGGAUUUUCUAUUAUCAAAAACAACUUACAAGCACGGAGGUCUCUGUACUUUCGAAAGUACGGGAGACUUACUAACUUACUAUAUAUAUAUAUAUAUAUAUAGUCCGGCUACUAUACUUUUAUGAGUAUUGACUCUUUUAUACUCAUAAGUUUUUGGCCCUUAAAUUUAUUCCACUGAUCAUUUCCAUCCGUUAGAUCAUACUAUUCAACCAACUACUCACUCAACCCUAGGGGACCACUAUUAUUUUAAGCGGGGACCAUCAUCGUCCUAACCAUACAUCCCAUCAAUCAACGGUUAAAAAUUUAUAAAUACAAGGGAGCCUAUACUCAUAAGAGUAUAGUAGCGCUAGCCUAUAUAUAUAUA
This 686-nucleotide long non-coding RNA is filed under the name Ananas comosus (pineapple). RNAcentral's name for it is "long non-coding RNA (ACOM_LNC040480)". The record is from RNAcentral. Lineage: Eukaryota; Viridiplantae; Streptophyta; Magnoliopsida; Poales; Bromeliaceae.